RNAcentral lists this ribosomal RNA (465 nucleotides) under uncultured bacterium. Its description in RNAcentral is "bacterial SSU rRNA". It matches the Rfam family "Bacterial small subunit ribosomal RNA", at positions 338 to 795 of the family's 1533-position model. The record is from RNAcentral.
CCUACGGGAGGCAGCAGUGGGGAAUAUUGCACAAUGGGCGCAAGCCUGAUGCAGCCAUGCCGCGUGUAUGAAGAAGGCCCUGGGGUUGUAAAGUACUUUCAGCGGGGAGGAAGGGAGUAAAGUUAAUAACUUUGCUCAUUGACGUUACCCGCAGAAGAAGCACCGGCUAACUCAGUGCCAGCAGCCGCGGUAAUACGGAGGGAGCAAGCGUAAAUCGGAAUUACCGGGCGGAAAGCGCACGCAAGCGGUUUGUUAAGUCAGAUGUGAGAUCCCCGGGCUUAACCUGGGAACUGCAUCUGAUACUGGCAAGCUUGAGUCUCGUAGAGGGGGGUAGAAUUCCAGGUGUAGCGAUGAAAUGUGUAGAGAUCUGGAGGAAUACCGGUGGCGAAGGAGGCCCCCUGGACGAAGACUGACGCUCAGGUGCGAAAGCGUGGGGAGCAAACAGGAUUAGAUACCCCGGUAGUC